This 902-nucleotide ribosomal RNA is filed under the name Antillolpium sp. 783047. RNAcentral describes it as "eukaryotic LSU rRNA". It matches the Rfam family "Eukaryotic large subunit ribosomal RNA", at positions 180 to 863 of the family's 3401-position model. Lineage: Eukaryota; Metazoa; Arthropoda; Arachnida; Pseudoscorpiones; Olpiidae. The record is from RNAcentral.
CGCAAGUCCCCAUGAGAGGGGCUUUUCCCGGAGCGGGUGCUAGGCCCUUACCGCUCAGAGUCGGGCGAUGAGUCGCUGCUCUCCUGGGAGUCGGGUUGCUUGGGAGUGCAGCCCAAAGUGGGUGGUAAACUCCACCUAAAGCUAAAUAAGACCGAGAGACCGAUAGCAAACAAGUACCGUGAGGRAAAGUUGAAAAGCACUUUGAAGAGAGAGUUCAAGAGUACGUGAAACCGUUUGGAGGUAAACGGGUGGGGCUUCGAAGGCCUAAGCAGGUUGCAGGUUCACGUUCCGAUCGAGUCAGUAGUCGUGAUGGAUGCUCCGUGGAGGGGAUCCUUGCGGCAGUCUGGCUUGUUUCGGAACCGCAUGGCUGCACCCUUGCCAUCGGGACGCCGCGACGGGUUGGAUGAUUGCCGUGUGGGUGGAAUCGAAAGGUGCCCUCCUUUCUUCGGAUCGGAGGUGUUAUAGUCGUCCUACCCAGGGGAAUCGUCCGACCGUGGAAGAGUAUCUCUCGAGAGCGCUCCUGUUGAGCAGCGGAAGAAGAGGGCAGCAUCGGUCCGUCUUCCCUCCACACUUAGUGUGCGGGUCGACGUCGCUGUGUUCCCCCUCUUUUUGACCGCGGUGGAGCGAGAGGUCGGCGGCGAGUAGUUCGGGCUCCCACCCGACCCGUCUUGAAACACGGACCAAGGAGUCCAAUGCGCGUGCGAGUCCCCGGGACUUGAUCAGGCCCGUGGGCGCAAUGAAAGUGAAGGGCGUUUCGGACGUCUUAGUUGGGAUCCUUCCCUCGAGGAAGGCGCACCAACGGCCCAUUCGAAACCGGCUUCGGUUGGAUGGAGCGAGAGCACGCGCCUUGGGACCCGAAAGAUGGUGAACUAUGCCUGGGCAGGACGAAGCAGGAGGAAACU